CCCUGGCCUCAUACUCUUACCACCACCACAGCUGUCAGGGCAGAGACCAUGGAGCUUGGCAGCAGAGGAGGGGGGCUGCAUGGGGCUCAGUCCACCCCUGUGAAAAAUCCUCCCCACUGCCCGCUACCUCUCACCCUGCAGCCAUUGCCCUGCUGAAGGACAAGGACCCUGGGGCCUUCCUGAUCAGGGACAGUCAUUCAUUCCAAGGAGCUUAUGGGCUGGCCCUCAAGGUGGCCACACCGCCACCCAGUGCCCAGCCCUGGAAAGGGGACCCCGUGGAACAGCUGGUCCGCCAUUUCCUCAUCGAGACUGGGCCCAAAGGGGUGAAGAUCAAGGGCUGCCCCAGUGAGCCCUACUUUGGCAGCCUGUCCGCCUUGGUCUCCCAGCACUCCAUCUCCCCCAUCUCCCUGCCCUGCUGCCUGCGCAUUCCCAGCAAAGAUCCUCUGGAAGAGACCCCAGAGGCUCCAGUGCCCACCAACAUGAGCACAGCGGCAGACCUCCUGCGUCAGGGUGCUGCCUGCAGUGUGCUCUACUUGACCUCAGUGGAGACAGAGUCACUGACGGGCCCCCAAGCUGUGGCCCGGGCCAGCUCUGCAGCUCUGAGCUGUAGCCCCCGCCCGACACCAGCUGUUGUCCACUUCAAGGUGUCAGCCCAGGGCAUUAC
Molecule: small RNA, 664 nt
Filed under: Pan troglodytes (chimpanzee)
Lineage: Eukaryota; Metazoa; Chordata; Mammalia; Primates; Hominidae
Description: retained intron
Source: RNAcentral